GGGGAAAGGGCUGCGAUUCAGUGGCUGAGCAUCUGCUUUGCAUGCAGAAGGUGCCAGGUUCAAUCCCAGGUGUCUCUA
Podarcis lilfordi (Lilford's wall lizard) is the source of this 78-nucleotide non-coding RNA. The record is from the annotation of a GenBank genome assembly. NCBI's taxonomy places the organism in Eukaryota, Metazoa, Chordata, Lepidosauria, Squamata, Lacertidae.